GUGGGACAGUGGCGAACGGGUGAGUAACACGUGAGCAACCUGCCCCUGACUCUGGGAUAAGCGCUGGAAACGGCGUCUAAUACUGGAUACGAGCAACGGCCGCAUGGCCAGUUGUUGGAAAGAUUUUUUGGUUGGGGAUGGGCUCGCGGCCUAUCAGCUUGUUGGUGAGGUAAUGGCUCACCAAGGCGUCGACGGGUAGCCGGCCUGAGAGGGUGACCGGCCACACUGGGACUGAGACACGGCCCAGACUCCUACGGGAGGCAGCAGUGGGGAAUAUUGCACAAUGGGCGGAAGCCUGAUGCAGCAACGCCGCGUGAGGGAUGACGGCCUUCGGGUUGUAAACCUCUUUUAGCAGGGAAGAAGCGAAAGUGACGGUACCUGCAGAAAAAGCGCCGGCUAACUACGUGCCAGCAGCCGCGGUAAUACGUAGGGCGCAAGCGUUAUCCGGAAUUAUUGGGCGUAAAGAGCUCGUAGGCGGUUUGUCGCGUCUGCUGUGAAAUCCCGAGGCUCAACCUCGGGCCUGCAGUGGGUACGGGCAGACUAGAGUGCGGUAGGGGAGAUUGGAAUUCCUGGUGUAGCGGUGGAAUGCGCAGAUAUCAGGAGGAACACCGAUGGCGAAGGCAGAUCUC
RNAcentral lists this ribosomal RNA (629 nucleotides) under Microbacterium sp. EECC-184. RNAcentral describes it as "bacterial SSU rRNA". It matches the Rfam family "Bacterial small subunit ribosomal RNA", at positions 87 to 729 of the family's 1533-position model. The record is from RNAcentral. Lineage: Bacteria; Bacillati; Actinomycetota; Actinomycetes; Micrococcales; Microbacteriaceae.